Molecule: ribosomal RNA, 404 nt
Filed under: uncultured Colpodella
Lineage: Eukaryota; Colpodellaceae
Description: partial small subunit ribosomal RNA
Rfam family: Eukaryotic small subunit ribosomal RNA
Source: RNAcentral
GCUUGUCUCAAAGAUUAAGCCAUGCAUGUCUAAGUAUAAACAACUUUAUACUGUAAAACUGCGAACGGCUCAUUAUAUCAGCAAUAAUUUAUUUGAUGGUUUCUUACCCCAUGGAUAACUGUGGUAAUUCUAGAGCUAAUACAUGCGUCAAGACCCGACUUUUUGGAAGGGUUGUAUUUAUUAGAUAAAGAACCAAUCCAUGCUUGCAUGGUUUUGUGGUGAUUCAUAAUAACUGAUCGAAUCGCAUGCCUUCGGGCGGCGAUGUAUCAUUCAAGUUUCUGACCUAUCAGCUUCCGACGGUAGGGUAUUGGCCUACCGUGGCAAUGACGGGUAACGGGGAAUUAGGGUUCGAUUCCGGAGAGGGAGCCUGAGAAACGGCUACCACAUCUAAGGAAGGCAGCAGG